This 368-nucleotide ribosomal RNA is filed under the name uncultured organism. RNAcentral describes it as "bacterial SSU rRNA". It matches the Rfam family "Bacterial small subunit ribosomal RNA", at positions 526 to 896 of the family's 1533-position model. The record is from RNAcentral.
CGGAGGGUGCAAGCGUUAUCCGGAUUCACUGGGUUUAAAGGGUGCGUAGGUGGGUUGGUAAGUCAGUGGUGAAAUCUCCGUGCUUAACAUGGAAACUGCCAUUGAUACUACCGGUCUUGAAUUAUCUGGAGGUAAGCGGAAUAUGUCAUGUAGCGGUGAAAUGCUUAGAUAUGACAUAGAACACCAAUUGCGAAGGCAGCUUGCUGCAGGUAUAUUGACACUGAGGCACGAAAGCGUGGGGAUCAAACAGGAUUAGAUACCCUGGUAGUCCACGCCCUAAACGAUGGAUACUCGACAUUAGCGAUACACAGUAAGUGUCUGAGCGAAAGCAUUAAGUAUCCCACCUGGGAAGUACGACCGCAAGGUUG